CUUUUCACAAAGCUGCGCUACUUUCUGUUCUUGAAGAAUACCCAACAACUUCUUCUAUUCUUAAAAAUUCUUUUACGCGUAUUUUUUUUUUUCAAAUUUUUAUCUCAUAAGUAGAAAGUGAAUAUAAAGAUUGAAGCUUGAUAAGUGAAAGCUGGCAAUGCAAGAUUAUUAAUAUUUUGAAAGGUAAUUUUUGGUGUUUUUAUUUUUUUUAUUUUAGCUAUCUUAAAUAAUUUUAAUUUUAUACAAGAAUUUAAAAGUGAGCAUGACAUGAAAAUUAUUUUUUUUUACUUAUUUUUUUCUAUCUGAAUUUCAAAUGAAAAGGGCAAUAGAUGAUGUUGAAGAUUUGGAGGCUCAACCUCAAGUAGAAGAAACUCUAACUGCACUAGCACCUUAUGCAACUCAAGAACAUGGCAGUGUUUCAAAUAUUAUUUCAAUACCCAAUCCUCUAAAAAAAUAGAAAAGAACAACUUCGUUUCUUCGAAAUUUCAGCCUCGACGGUAACGGUAGAAAAACAUCAGAAGUUUGAAAUCAUUAUUUAGAGAUUACUAAUUUAGUAAGUGAAUUAAGGUCAAAAUGUAAGUAUUGCCUUAAAGACUUUUCUUGCGCUAGUAAACAUGGAACUUCUAAUCUUUGGGGUCAUUUACAAUCUAAGUGUUCGAAAUAUCCUUUCAAGUCCAUUGAUAGAAAGCAAACAACUCUCAAACCAAUUAAAGGAGGGGGGCAGGAAGGUUUUGAGAAGCUUGUUUAUAAUGUUGAUGAAGUUAUGAGAGCUAUUGCUGAGUUUGUUAUAAUUGAUGAACAACCUUUUAGAGUCAUUGAGGGUGAAGGCUUUAAGAGACUAAUGUCGCUUAUUUUGUCUAAUUAUGAAUUGCCUUUUCGAAUUACUAUUGCUCGACAAUGUUUAAGAAUUUAUCAAGAAGUGAAACAAAAGCUUAAAAGAUUUAUUAAUGGGCAGUGUGUUUGUAUUACUAGUGAUACGUGGUCUUUACUUCAAAAUUUUACGUAUAUGGUAAUCACUGCCUAUUGGAUUGACGAUCACUGGAAGUUGCAAAUAUUUUUUUUCAAACUCCAGAUCACAAGGGUGAGACCAUUGCGUAAGCUGUUGAAUCUUGUUUGUUAGAUUGGGAAAUUGAAAAUCUAUUUAAAGUUACACUUGAAAAUGCCUCGGCUAAUGAUGCAGCAAUCACAUACUUGAAAGUAAAAAUUAGUGAUUGAAAAGGAAUUAUCAUAGGAAAUAAUUUUCAACAUGUUCGGUGCAAUGCUCACAUCCUAAACUUGAUUGUAAAAGAAGGAUUGAGUGACCAAAAUCAGUCCAUUUCUCGGGUAAGAAAUGUUGUGAAAUAUGUUAAAUCUUCUUGUGUUAAAGCUGCUUCUUUCAAGUCAUAUUUUGAGAAGGUUAAACUUGACACUAAUGGACUUUUGAGUUUAGAUGUUGAGAUAAGGUGGAACUCUAUAUAUUUAAUAUUAAAUAAUGCUGUAAAAUUUGAAAAGGCAUUUUCAAGAAUGAAUAUUGAUGAUCAUAAGUACUUUAAAUACUGUCUUGACUCAAAAGGAAAGAUAGAACAUCCUUCUUCGAAAGAUUGGAAGGAUGUGAAUAUCUUUCUCAAGUUUUUGGAGAUUUUAUAUCAAACCACAUUGAAGUUUUUCAGUACUUUGCAAGUUACUUCAAAUACUUUCUUUCAUGAACUUUUUAAUCUCCAGAGCAUAAUUGUCAACUAUUUAAAAUGUGAUGAUUCUAUUUUAAUUGAUAUGGCUAAGAAGAUGAAAGUCAAGUUUGAUAGAUAAUGGGGUGAUUUUAGUGAUAUGAAUAUGUUGUUGUUUGUUGCCGUUGUGUUGGAUCCUCGCUACAAAAUAAAGUAUGUUGAGUUUCUUUUUAAGAAAUAUUAUAAUUCUAUGGAGGGAUGUGCUAAGUCUGAUAAAGUACGAGAUACUUUAACUAGCUUGUAUGCUAAUUACAAGAGUUCUAUUUCUGAAACUUCUUGUGAAAGUAUUGGAGAUUAAAUUAGUGUGAUUAGUGGAUUUGAUGCAAUGAAUAGUUCUAAUAUGUGGCAAUCACAAUGGGAGAAAUAUCUUGAAAAAGAGAAUGAUGUUGAUGAUAAAUCUGAUCUUGACAAGUAUUUGAAGGAUGGUGUGGAAACAACUAAGAAUUUUAAUAUUUUGACUUGGUGGAAAGCUUCAUCCGAAAAAUAUCCAACUGUUUCUCAAAUUGCAAGAGAUUUGCUUCCUAUUCCUACAUCUACUAUUGCUUUAGAAUAAGUUUUUAGCACCGGUGGUCGAAUUCUUGAUUGUUAUCAAAGUUCUUUAUCACCAAAGACUGCUGAAGCUCUUAUUUGUGGUCAACAAUGGUUAUGUUCAACAUCUAAAGAGUGCAAGAUUGAAGAUCUUUUAGAUGAAAUUCAAAAGCUUGAAACAAUUGAAAAAGAAUAUUCGGACUUUACUUUGAGCAUUGAUUAGUUUGGAGAUCAAGAUAAAGAAUAUGCUGGAAGUUGGCUGGUCUUUUUGCUGAAAUUUAAUUGUUGUUUUAUACUUAAAGUGGCUGGGAUUUGGAUGGUGUGUUUGCUGGAAUCCAGUUGCUAUUUUUGGUGAAAAGUGGCUUCAACUUGAGUGUUGUUUUUGUUAGAUUUUUAUUGAUGUUUUCGCUGGAAAUGCAACUAUUGUAGUGUUGUUUUUGUUGAAAUUUUGGUUAAUGUUUUCGCUGGAAAUUCAACUAUUGUAAUGUCUUUCUUUCAAUGGUUUAAAUAGAUUUUAGUUGAUGUUUUUGGUUGA
Molecule: long non-coding RNA, 2766 nt
Organism: Capsicum annuum
Lineage: Eukaryota; Viridiplantae; Streptophyta; Magnoliopsida; Solanales; Solanaceae
Exons: 2
Source: RefSeq, a predicted model, not a curated record